This 482-nucleotide ribosomal RNA is filed under the name uncultured bacterium. RNAcentral describes it as "bacterial SSU rRNA". It matches the Rfam family "Bacterial small subunit ribosomal RNA", at positions 29 to 487 of the family's 1533-position model. The record is from RNAcentral.
AACUAACGCUGGCGGCGUGCCUAACACAUGCAAGUCGUACGAGAAAGCCGGCUUCGGCUGGUGAGUAAAGUGGCGCACGGGUGAGUAACGCGUGGAUAAUCUGCCCCUAAGUGUGGAAUAACGUACCGAAAGGUGCGCUAAUACCGCAUAAUGCCUGGCAACACAAGUUGUCCGGCCAAAGAAGGCCUCUGUUUACAAGCUUUCGCUUCAGGAUGAGUCCGCGUACCAUUAGCUUGUUGGUGGGGUAAUGGCCUACCAAGGCUGCGAUGGUUAGCUGGUCUGAGAGGAUGAUCAGCCACACUGGAACUGAGACACGGUCCAGACUCCUACGGGAGGCAGCAGUGAGGAAUAUUGCGCAAUGGGGCAACCCUGACGCAGCAACGCCGCGUGAGUGAGGAAGGUUUUCGGACUGUAAAGCUCUGUCGAGCGGGAAGAAGUGUACCAUGGCUAAUAUCCAUGAUAUUUGACGGUACCGCUAGAGG